UUAUUAAUAAAGAAAAAGUUUUUUCUUUUCGGUAGAGAGCUUUUUUUUUUCUUGGGGCAAAUAACAAAGCAAAAUCUGACUAUGACCAUUCAUAUUUUCUUGGAUUUCCAAAAUGAUCAUGGAUACCGAUAAUAAUUUCUGUUCCUUUGUCUCUCUGCAUUACCUCUCCUCUCUUCUUGUUCUUGUUCUUUACUGUUCACCAGCACAGCUCUGCUUGUUUCUUCUUUCCUCCUCCAUCCAUGGCUUCCUUGUAUGUUCUUCCCAGAUCUGCACAUUUCUUCCACUUCAGUGGGCAAUAAGUUUGUCUUAGGAAGCCCACUGAAUCAGGGAGUGCAGGUGAGGUGAGCUUUCUGCAUCCUGUUGGAAUAAUGGCUGUUCCAACUGUUCCCACCCGGCCUCUUUUUCUAAUGCAGGGUGCGGAGUUACGUUAGACCGCAUACAAGAAUCCAUUGCCCCAGAGUCCAAGGAUGCUGCUGCUCGAAUCAGCUGGAGGACCCUUGUCAAUACAAAUUGUUCGGGGAUCGGUUGGAAUGAAUCCCGACGAGGUGAAGUUGCAACUGCCGAUCAAUACAGCUAUUCCUGCGUCAAAGCGAAACUAAAGUCUUAAUACCUCUUAAAGAAACGCCGGGAAGCAGUGUUCUGAUGAUGUACAAGACAGAUUUGGGGGAAUGACUUUUUUACUUUCAUCCAUCAAGCUGAUAAUCAAUGAGACACUGGACGGGACAAUAUGGGUCGCAUGCUACGUUGGCCAUUUAUGACCAAAGCUGACUCAGUCCUUACUGCGAUGCAGUGCGCUCUAUUCAACUGAAUUUAAUGUGUCAACUCUCCCUGUCUGAGUCUCCUGUUGACCCCCAUCCGAUCCUUUUGCCUCUCAGUCAUGAGGUCUCUCAUCUCGCAAGAGGGUAUGCUUCGGAGAAGCUUCUCAGGGGGAAAGUGACAGGGAGAUGGAGAUGGCAGAUGGAGAUGAAAGAUGGAAGAUGGAAGAUGGGGGACCCCACAUGGUUCCUUUAGAGCUUGUUUUUGAGGAGGAGAUUAAUAAGUCGCGACAACCAACCUCAGAGCCACCAACAACAAAGUUUCUUCCUUGCUUGCGCCCCCUCUUCUUUCAGUCCCGUACGCCUGCCAGAAGGCUCCUCCUCAGUUAAUUAAUUAAUUAAUCUUGUGGUUAAUCAUCUUUUCCAAAACGGUGUUUUCAGCCAAUAAGUUAAAACAAUAAUUCCGUUGCAGCGUCGAUUUAGUGGCCUACACAUAUGUCUAAGUACAAAGUAAGAAAUCUAGGAGCAGCUUUAGCACUUGGGCCCUAAGGGAGUGAUACUGAGGGAGGACACCCGGCACACGACACACGACACAGGACACAGGACACACGGCAGCCCUGCAGAUCCAGAGGGAAGUAAAAGCAAAAGGUCAAGACUGAAAAAGCUGGUGGACGUAGACAGACCAGGAGUAGAGAGGAUAACAUCAUCUUCACCUUCUUCAUUGCUUGAUAUGUAGAAAGGGCGAGAGAGAAUCAAAGCUUUAAGCUUGAAUGAAUGGAAGGAAUAUGUGGGACAAGCAGAGCAAAACCGGGGGCCAGAUUUCUUUUGCAAUUUUUCAUCAUCAGUUCUCUCUCACUACUAAGUACAAUGAUGUUCUGUCUUUUUUUUCUUUCAUUGAGGCUGUGCAGCAAACUUCUUCAAGAAACCACUAUGA
Non-coding RNA from Punica granatum (pomegranate), 1689 nucleotides. Lineage: Eukaryota; Viridiplantae; Streptophyta; Magnoliopsida; Myrtales; Lythraceae. The record is from RefSeq and is a predicted model, not a curated record.